This is a long non-coding RNA of Bos taurus (domestic cattle), 863 nucleotides long. The record is from Ensembl. Lineage: Eukaryota; Metazoa; Chordata; Mammalia; Artiodactyla; Bovidae.
CACAGCUCAAAAGCAUCAAUUCUUUGGCACUCAGCCUUCUUUAUGGUCCAAGUCUCACAUCUGUACAUGACUACUGGAAAAACCACAGCUUUGCCUAGAUGGACCUUUGUCAGCCAAGUGAUGUCUCUUCAUUCUAAUUCACAAAUCAAUUAGAUGUACCGAAAACUGUAAUGCCUGCAGGCAGUAACGGUCAACAGAAAGGGCUCAAUUCUCCAUGAGAACACCUGACUGCACAUUGCACAAUCACCACUUUAAAAGUUAAACAAUUUAGACUACGAAGUUUUGCCUCAUCUUCCAUAUUCACCUUACUUCUCACUAACUGACUACCACUUCUUCAAACAUCUCAACAACUUUUUGCAAGGAAAACCCUUCACAACCAGCAGUAUGCAGAAAAUGCUUUCCAACAGUUUGUUGAAUCCCAAAGCAUGGAUCUUUACACUACAGGAAUAAGCAAACUUAUUUCUCCUUGGCAAAAAUGUGUUGAUAAUAAUGUUCCUAUUUUGAUUAAUAAAGAUGUGUUUCAACCUAGCUUUAAUGAUUUAAAAUUCACUGCCUGAAACCACAAUUAUCUUUGCAAUCUAAAUACUUUGUUUUUGUGAUACACUGCCGCCUUAUCCUCUUCUUUGUUUUCAUCUUCCUCCUUGGAACGUGGCCAUGAAACUGGAGCUGGAGCAGCCACCUUGAACCAUGAGGUCAGAAUCCACAAAGCCGAAAGUGACAUGCUAAGGAUGGUAGAACAUAAAGAUAAAAGGAGUCUAGAGUGGCAUGUUGUGGAAGGUCAUGCAGAAGGAUAUGUCCUGUGCAAGGCUGCCACCCAGUUGAGACUUCCCCCUGGACUUGGAGGGAAAAGGAUUGGGUGAAUU